Molecule: ribosomal RNA, 468 nt
Filed under: uncultured bacterium
Lineage: Bacteria
Description: partial 16S ribosomal RNA
Rfam family: Bacterial small subunit ribosomal RNA
Source: RNAcentral
GACGAACGCUGGCGGCGUGCUUAACACAUGCAAGUCGAACGGAAAGGCCCUGCUUUUGUGGGGUGCUCGAGUGGCGAACGGGUGAGUAACACGUGAGUAACCUGCCCUUGACUUUGGGAUAACUUCAGGAAACUGGGGCUAAUACCGGAUAGGAGCUCCUGCUGCAUGGUGGGGGUUGGAAAGUUUCGGCGGUUGGGGAUGGACUCGCGGCUUAUGAGCUUGUUGGUGGGGUAGUGGCUUACCAAGGCUUUGACGGGUAGCCGGCCUGAGAGGGUGACCGGCCACAUUGGGACUGAGAUACGGCCCAGAGUCCUACGGGAGGCAGCAGUGGGGAAUAUUGCACAAUGGGCGGAAGCCUGAUGCAGCAACGCCGCGUGCGGGAUGACGGCCUUCGGGUUGUAAACCGCUUUCGCCUGUGACGAAGCGUGAGUGACGGUAAUGGGUAAAGAAGCACCGGCUAACUACGUG